CCUACGGGUGGCAGCAGUGAGGAAUAUUGGUCAAUGGACGAGAGUCUGAACCAGCCAAGUAGCGUGAAGGAUGACUGCCCUAUGGGUUGUAAACUUCUUUUAUAUGGGAAUAAAAUGUUCCACGUGUGGGAUUUUGUAUGUACCAUAUGAAUAAGGAUCGGCUAACUCCGUGCCAGCAGCCGCGGUAAUACGGAGGAUCCGAGCGUUAUCCGGAUUUAUUGGGUUUAAAGGGAGCGUAGGUGGAUUGUUAAGUCAGUUGUGAAAGUUUGCGGCUCAACCGUAAAAUUGCAGUUGAAACUGGCAGUCUUGAGGACAGUAGAGGUGGGCGGAAUUCGUGGUGUAGCGGUGAAAUGCUUAGAUAUCACGAAGAACUCCGAGUGCGAAGGCAGUUCACUGGACUGCAACUGACACUGAGGCUCGAAAGUGUGGGUAUCAAACAGGAUUAGAUACCCGGGUAGUC
RNAcentral lists this ribosomal RNA (460 nucleotides) under uncultured bacterium. RNAcentral's name for it is "partial 16S ribosomal RNA". It matches the Rfam family "Bacterial small subunit ribosomal RNA", at positions 338 to 795 of the family's 1533-position model. The record is from RNAcentral.